RNAcentral lists this ribosomal RNA (422 nucleotides) under uncultured bacterium. RNAcentral's name for it is "partial 16S ribosomal RNA". It matches the Rfam family "Bacterial small subunit ribosomal RNA", at positions 357 to 796 of the family's 1533-position model. The record is from RNAcentral.
GGGAAUCUUGCGCAAUGGGCGAAAGCCUGACGCAGCCAUGCCGCGUGAAUGAUGAAGGUCUUAGGAUUGUAAAAUUCUUUCACCGGGGACGAUAAUGACGGUACCCGGAGAAGAAGCCCCGGCUAACUUCGUGCCAGCAGCCGCGGUAAUACGAAGGGGGCUAGCGUUGCUCGGAAUUACUGGGCGUAAAGGGCGCGUAGGCGGACAGUUUAGUCAGAGGUGAAAGCCCAGGGCUCAACCUUGGAAUUGCCUUUAAUACUGGCUGGCUUGAGUACGGGAGAGGUGAGUGGAACUCCGAGUGUAGAGGUGAAAUUCUGAGAUAUUCGGAAGAACACCAGUGGCGAAGGCGACUCACUGGCCCGUUACUGACGCUGAGGCGCGAAAGCGUGGGGAGCAAACAGGAUUAGAAACCCCAGUAGUCC